ACGUACACUCCUGCGGGAGGCAGCAGUGGGGAAUAUUGGACAAUGGGCGCAAGCCUGAUCCAGCCAUGCCGCGUGAGUGAUGAAGGCCCUAGGGUUGUAAAGCUCUUUCACCGGUGAAGAUAAUGACGGUAACCGGAGAAGAAGCCCCGACUAACUUCGUGCCAGCAGCCGCGGUAAUACGAAGGGGGCUAGCGUUGUUCGGAUUUACUGGGCGUAAAGCGCACGUAGGCGGACUAUUAAGUCAGGGGUGAAAUCCCGGGGCUCAACCCCGGAACUGCCUUUGAUACUGGUAGUCUUGAGUUCGAGAGAGGUGAGUGGAAUUCCGAGUGUAGAGGUGAAAUUCGUAGAUAUUCGGAGGAACACCAGUGGCGAAGGCGGCUCACUGGCUCGAUACUGACGCUGAGGUGCGAAAGCGUGGGGAGCAAACAGGAUUAGAUACCCUUGUAGUCCGAU
This 453-nucleotide ribosomal RNA is filed under the name uncultured organism. Its description in RNAcentral is "partial 16S ribosomal RNA". It matches the Rfam family "Bacterial small subunit ribosomal RNA", at positions 329 to 798 of the family's 1533-position model. The record is from RNAcentral.